This is a small RNA of 75 nucleotides. It matches the Rfam family "Flavo-1 RNA".
UUUUUGCGUGAGGGAUAGCAACGGCAUCCUUUUGUGAGGAUACGAACAAAAAUAUAGUGGAUAGCCCGACCUGAU